RNAcentral lists this ribosomal RNA (468 nucleotides) under uncultured bacterium. Its description in RNAcentral is "partial 16S ribosomal RNA". It matches the Rfam family "Bacterial small subunit ribosomal RNA", at positions 28 to 507 of the family's 1533-position model. The record is from RNAcentral.
GACGAACGCUGGCGGCGUGCUUAACACAUGCAAGUCGAACGGAAAGGCCCUGCUUUUGUGGGGUGCUCGAGUGGCGAAAGGGUGAGUAACACGUGAGUAACCUGCCCUUGACUUUGGGAGAACUUCAGGAAACUGGGGCUAAUACCGGAUAGGAGCUCCUGCUGAAUGGUGGGGGGGGGAAAGGUUCGGCGGUUGGGGAUGGACUCGCGGCUUAUCAGCUUGUUGGUGGGGUAGUGGCUUACCAAGGCUUUGACGGGUAGCCGGCCUGAGAGGGUGACCGGCCACAUUGGGACUGAGAUACGGCCCAGACUCCUACGGGAGGCAGCAGUGGGGAAUAUUGCACAAUGGGCGGAAGCCUGAUGCAGCAACGCCGCGUGCGGGAUGACGGCCUUCGGGUUGUAAACCGCUUUCGCCUGUGACGAAGCGUGAGUGACGGUAAUGGGUAAAGAAGCACCGGCUAACUACGUG